GUGUUCGUUGAGCCGAGAGACGGUUAGCAUCUCCCUCGACAAGGACGGGAUUGCGCGUUCUGCGUAUCCAAACCACUUGGAUGGUUUAAGCUCUGUCGGCCCCCGCCCGACAUCUAACCAGUUUUUUUU
RNAcentral lists this non-coding RNA (129 nucleotides) under Pythium arrhenomanes ATCC 12531. The record is from RNAcentral. Lineage: Eukaryota; Oomycota; Peronosporomycetes; Pythiales; Pythiaceae.